This 221-nucleotide long non-coding RNA is filed under the name Elaeis guineensis (African oil palm). RNAcentral's name for it is "long non-coding RNA (EGUI_LNC011736)". Lineage: Eukaryota; Viridiplantae; Streptophyta; Magnoliopsida; Arecales; Arecaceae. The record is from RNAcentral.
GGCCGUGCUAAGGCACGAUCCAAUACUAAGGGCUCGACUUGGUUGGAGGUUUGGUGGCCCACGGCCCAAGUCCGGCAUGGCCCUUCAGGGCUUGAGCUAACAUGGCCCAUCGUGCCAGGCACAAUGUGUGCCCAGGCCCGACACGGUCUGCGUGGUAGCUCAUAUGGGCCGUGCCUUGGCACUGCCCCUAUGGGCCAUUGCACGGUCCUCUUACCUCGGGA